CUUCAGUGUCACACAUGUGUUGGAAUGCACCACAAUGCAAGUCGGGAGAUGACCGUGUAGAUUGCGUUGUAUCUGUCUUCUCUUCUUUUAAACGUAAUGUCCGACAGGUUGUGACCUAUUUUAUAUGGAAUGUUUAAUGUUGUGCCUUUUUUAAAUAAGGAUGUUCAUAACACAUUGUGCCUUGUUAGCGUAAUGCAGACAUUGUCUCAUAAGCUGCAAACAUGUUUUGAAUUUUUUCACUACAAAAAAUGUCAUUGCAAAAGUUUUAUUUCAUUAUCAAUGCUGCAAUUGUUUAUGAUCUCAUUAUUUUAUACUACAAUAAACUCAGGAAACAAUUAUUGUAUUCAAUAUGGGUAUGUGUUUCGCAAACUGUCCUUACACAAAUUGCUAACUAAAGGCUAACUACAUACAUUUGAGGAAGCACAGCGAAGACAUCAAUUCAUAAUACACUUCUUGAGAACCCCUAAUUUCCUUUCCCUGUUGGUGUUUAAUUGCAACCCUUAAAGUUGUAUGCAUGAAUCUAGGCGUAAUGUCCAUUGUAAGGACAUGAGCAUUGCGUGUUUUGGUGUUGUCCUACUGUUGCUAUUUGGAAGAAUGAAUGGGGAACUAUGUUUUAUGUUUUGGAAAAACUGGAAUCUUUGAAGGUGACGCGAAGGAAUGCCAUGUCAUCAUAUGGUGAGGACGGAUGCAGCGACUACUCUGUGUGAAGCUCAUAAGACCGUGGACAGGCUCCAGAUGCAGAGAGGGACGGCGUGCUCCGACUGUCACAUACAAUUUGCUUGUAUUUAGAGUUCUUAAAUCUGGAGAUUUUUGGAGUAACACAAAGUUACAGCAGUCGACCCAUGCUGGUGAACCUGUUUGAUAAACAUCAGAAAGAAAGGCAUGUCAAGUAUUCACAAUACUGUAGAUCUGUGAAAGGUCAAUCCAAGUGUGUGGGUGUAUAUAUAUAUAUAUAUAUGUACACAUGCACAUACACAGAGGAGGAGGCUGUGUUUGGCACACUUUAGGUUAAGGAUCAGGGUGGUAACACGUCUAAGGUAUUCUCCAUUCUGUUGAGUUCUACCUGGUAUCUCUUGUUUUGAAAGCCUGAUUUUCAAGACUCGAUGGAGGAGCCCCUUGUAGGCCCAAAGCCAGAGGGGAGGCCCCUGAAGGGCCAUCACCGAUGGAAGACAGACAAACAGGUCUGUGAGGUGGAGGACUUCAGGAGAAGGCUCAAGUACUUCUUCAUGAAUCCCUGUGAGAAAUACCGAGCCAGGGGCCGUAAACCAUGGAAACUAACAUUACAAAUUCUGAAAAUUGCAAUUAUCACAAUCCAGUUGGUCUCUUUUGGCCUGAGCAACGAAAUGAUGGUCAGCUUCAAAGAGGAAAGCCUGCUGACAUUCAAAAAUCUGUUUCUCAAAGGAUACAACGAUCAACAUCGUGGAAUACACACACUUUACACUAAAACAGACGUCUAUGACCAUAUUCACUAUGCCAUUGAUAGGUACAUGAAUCUUGAGAAUCUCACAGUAGGAAAUCAUGCCUAUGAGAGGGUGGAUGGCCUGUACACUCCUCUAUCUCUGUGUAAAGAGUUCUACAGGAACAGCAGCAUCUUCCCAGGAAAUGAGACCUUUGACAUUGAUCCACAUGUGGAAAAAGUUUGUAUAGCCAUAUAUCCUACAAUUGAUACUGAAAGUUGGCCAAGACGUCUGACCUUCUCUAUAGAUUUCAAAAGGCUGCUGUCAGUAAACAUCUACCUCAAACUGAGAGCCAUCAAUCUGCAGACUGUGCGGCACAAUGAACUUCCGGACUGUUAUCUGUUCAAUAUAACGAUCAUAUUUAACAACCACGCCCACAGCGGAAGAAUAAAAACUGAAAUAAUCAAUGAUGUUGGAAUUUACGAAUGCAAAGACUGGAAUGUAGCAGACACUUCUGGGAAGAAUGACUACAUGCUCUUAAUGCUGGAUUCUCUGGUCAUCAUUGCCUGCAUCACCUCUCUCAUCCUCUGCUCACGCUCCGUUAAAAAUGGCAUCCAACUCCAGUUUGAGUAUAAUACGUUCUUCCAAACCUACUUCAGUAAGCCUGUGCCCUGGGCAGAUCGCAUGGAGUUUGUAAAUGGAUGGUACAUCCUCAUCAUUGUGAGUGAUACCCUUACCAUUGCAGGGUCCAUCCUGAAAAUAGGAAUUCAGACCAAGUUCCUGACCAACUAUGACGUGUGCAGUAUUUUGCUCGGGACCGCCACCAUGCUGGUCUGGGUCGGGGUCAUUCGCUACCUCGGUUUCUUCAAGAAGUACAACAUCCUCAUCCUGACCCUGAGAGCAGCCUUCCCCAACGUGAUCCGCUUCUGCUGCUGCGCCGCCAUGAUUUACCUGGGAUACUGUUUCUGUGGCUGGAUCGUGCUCGGCCCCUACCAUGACAAGUUCCGGACCUUGGACAAGGUGACAGAGUGUCUCUUCUCGCUCAUCAACGGGGACGACAUGUACGCUACCUUCAAAGCCGUGAGGGACAAGACGUACAUGGUGUGGCUGUUCAGCCGGGUCUACCUCUACUCCUUCAUCUCCCUCUUCAUCUACAUGGUGCUCAGCCUCUUCAUCGCCCUCAUCACCGACACCUAUGAGACCAUCAAGAGUUGCCAAGAAGACAAGGUGCCAGUGUCUGAGCUCCAGGCCUUUAUAGCAGAAUGCAGAGACCAUCCUGAAUCCGGGCGCUAUCUGACUGAUAACCAGACCGCUUCCUGCUGUGGCUGCUUUGGAUGAACUGUACUCCGAGGCCCUUCUCAGAGAUUACAAUUAUUGUAUUUGCCUUGGUUCAAGCAAGUUGUCGUCAUCAAAUAGCAAACACAUACCCGUUGCCUAACACUUACAUUUAACUAAACAUUUGAUUUGUGUUACACAAAUUAUCAAUUGUCAUUGUAAGCUAUAAGAAUGGUGCUAGAUAAUCUUUGGAUAAAUUAUGAGCAGUAUGUAUUAUUAUGUAUAUAUUAUUAGAUAUGUUCAUGACAAUUUAUAUUGAUGACCAAUAGGCGUUUGUGUAUUUUUUUAGUAGUGAUGAAAGUUACGUAAAAAAGUGACAUAUUUUACUAGCACACAUUUGCACAAAUAAAACUGACGUUCGGGCCACGCAAGUUAUUCUUUCUUAAUGCAAAGGAGUCGCAAAAGACUUGAGGCAGUGUCAGUAAAGUCGAGAACAACCUGUGUGUCUUUGUCCCAUAACGUAACACCUGAGGGCGCUCCACAUUUGCAUAAUCCUCUCGGUUGGUUCGCAUCCAAUGUGCUGUUCAGAUAUUGGUUGCUUGACAACAUGGCCUCCAAUGACAGAAGUGUUUAGAUGGACGCCGACACGGGAAUACACUUAAAAACAAUCAGCGCUCUGCACCUUCAUGAUGUUUGCCGAACGAGUUAAGGUAAAACACGGAGUUUAUGUUGCGGUCUCAUGACAGUGUCAAAUGAUCUGCGACACAGUGCGAGUUGUGUGGCUGUGAUUAAGGGACGGCAGGGCUCUGAUCCAGCGAGUGCCUCCAAUCUGCUGCAUAGCUCUUAAUCCACCCCCAAGAUCAGACUUAACUGAUGACCGCGCCUGUGUCCUACACUUCUUUGAUAUGGGAGACUGGUCGAGGACUUCACCAUUAGGUGUAUCUAUGGAGAACUCUGAGAUCUCCAGUAUAUCACGGGUAACCCUCUCCUCGUCCAGACAAAACCACGAUUCACUGUAUUCCUCCUCUCUGCCGCUGUC
Molecule: RNA transcript, 3711 nt
Organism: Gadus chalcogrammus (walleye pollock)
Lineage: Eukaryota; Metazoa; Chordata; Actinopteri; Gadiformes; Gadidae
Gene: ssx2ipa
Gene name: synovial sarcoma, X breakpoint 2 interacting protein a
Exons: 15
Source: RefSeq, a predicted model, not a curated record